AAUAGCUGAAAGUAGGUCCUGUAUUCCGCCAUUUUGGAUUGGAUUCUCGUAUUUGGUACUGAUUUUGUGACACAUAUCGGUAUUAUUAAAUAAUUAGCAAAAAUGCAGUCAAAAGAGCACUUUGUGAUAAAAGCAAAGUUAGCUGAACAAGCAGAGCGAUACGAUGACAUGGCUACUGCAAUGAAAAAGUGCGUAGAAGAGACUAGCACCAAAAAAGAAACGCUUAACAACGAGGAAAGAAAUUUGCUGUCUGUUGCUUACAAGAAUGUCGUAGGUGCUCGGAGGUCCGCCUGGAGGGUAAUAUCCAGUAUUGAACAGAAGACAGAAUCUGCUGAUAAAAAGCAACAGAUGGCAAAGGACUACAGGGAAAAGGUUGAAAAGGAACUCAAAGGAAUAUGUCAAGAUGUUUUGGAUUUGCUGGAUAAGAUUUUAAUUCCAAUGAUAAAAGAUGACCCCAAGGACAAGCAAAAGCUGGAGAGUCUGGUCUUCUACUUAAAGAUGAAGGGAGACUACUUCCGCUACCUGGCGGAAGUGAGCAGUGGACAGGAUAGGAAAGACGUCGUGGAGAAGUCGAGAGAAGCGUACCAUGAGGCGGACCUGAAGGCCGGUGACGACAUGACUCCAACACAUCCCAUCCGUCUAGGUCUAGCAUUAAAUUUUUCUGUUUUCUACUACGAAAUUAUGAAUCACCCAGAGAAAGCUUGUGAACUUGCCAAAAAAGUAAGCAUUUGAUGACGCCAUAACACAACUAGACACAUUAAAUGAAGACUCGUAUAAAGACAGUACCUUGAUAAUGCAGCUAUUGAGGGAUAAUUUAACACUUUGGACAUCAGAUG
Molecule: unclassified non-coding RNA, 836 nt
Filed under: Gigantopelta aegis
Lineage: Eukaryota; Metazoa; Mollusca; Gastropoda; Neomphalida; Peltospiridae
Description: 14-3-3-like protein 2, transcript variant X1
Source: RNAcentral